This 509-nucleotide long non-coding RNA is filed under the name Homo sapiens (human). RNAcentral's name for it is "HSALNT0176107". Lineage: Eukaryota; Metazoa; Chordata; Mammalia; Primates; Hominidae. The record is from RNAcentral.
AUCACCCUUCACCUUGGGACCUUUCAGAUGCAAAUCAAAGUCAGGCAUGGAGAUCUUGGGGGCUUUGAUGUUCAUCUCAGGCAUCUUGAAUUUAGGGCCCUUUAGUUUCGCAUCUGGACCUUCGAUAUUCACAUCAGGAACAUCAAUGUCCACCUUGGGUCCUGAGACGUCAAGGUCAGCCUUGGGCAGGUUCACAUCCACAUCUGGGCCCUCUCCUUUGAAGCCAGGCAUGCUGAACUUGGGCAUUUUCACCUUGGGCAUCUUCAGGUGCCAGUCUGGGCCAUGAACAUCCACAUCUGGGGCAUCAAUGUCCAUUUUGGGUCCUUUGAUGUCAACAUCUGGCACUUUCAUUUCACCUUCUACCUUGGGCACAGACACAUCCAUAUCCCCUUUGACUUUGGGGCCUUUCAGGUGUAAGUCCACAUCAGGCAUGGAGAUCUUGGGGGCCUUGAAGUGCAUCUCAGGCAUCUUAAACUUGGGCCCUUUCAACUUUGCAUCAGGACACUCCA